This is an RNA transcript of Coccinella septempunctata (seven-spotted ladybird), 1427 nucleotides long. It is a transcript of the gene named phosphatidylinositol N-acetylglucosaminyltransferase subunit H-like, with no coding region annotated. The record is from RefSeq and is a predicted model, not a curated record. The transcript has 5 exons. Lineage: Eukaryota; Metazoa; Arthropoda; Insecta; Coleoptera; Coccinellidae.
GUCUGUGUUCACUGUUCAUAUUCGUGUUCUGUGCUGUUCAGCUUCUUAUCGUGGAUAUCACAUAAAUAAAUUAUGAAUAAUUUAGAAUGCUAAGGAGAUGGAUGAAAACGAUAAAUUGAAAAAAUGCAAUAUUCGAAGAAAAUAUUUAAAUAUCUACGGACAAGUAAUAUAUCUCUCCCUAAUGAAACAGGAUAAUUUAAUGAUUGUUUCACUGAAAAAACAUUCAGAUAUUCGCCUAUAUUCAAUAGUUUUUACAUUGGGCAUAAUUUUGAAUGCCUUCAGUUUCAAAAUUGAUCUCAUAGGUACCAUCCUGUUCAGUAUUAUAGUGAGUGUUUUAGUCGUAUGUAUGUAUAUGAAAUUGGGUAGCAUAACUGAAGAGGCUCUCAUAGCUAUCAAUCCAUUGGGAUAUCAAUUAAGCACUAAAUAUAUAAUGGGCCAAAAAUCCACGUUCAUUCCAUUUGAAAGAGUACAAAAUAUUUUCAUCAAUGAAGUAAUAUACAAGCAAAAAAUCGUAUAUUUAUUGACGAUUUUAACCAAAGGAUUAAAUGGUGAUAAGCUAAUUCCCUUAUUUAUAUAAUGGUCUCAAAAAAUUUCCAACAAUUACGAGAAUUGACAAAAUGACCAUUGUCCAGGGUCAAACUGAAUUUGAAAAUCCAAAUAGAAGAAAAAUUCUCAGCAGCAUGUGGUUGGUUGGAAUGUUUAUAUGUAUAGGGUGCUAAGCCACGGAUUGAUUGUCUCAAGUUUUUGUAUAACGAGCUUUCGAAAAAUUAAGGAUGAAGUUCAAAUGGCAUCAAUUAUCCUAGAGAUCUGACAUUUCUUUUUUUCCGCCAAUAUUAUCAUUAUUCUCAUCUGUUCAAGCAGCUGGCAACUUAAUCCAUCAUCUUUUGUCUGAAAAAAAUGAAAUGUUACGAUUGUAGAAAAUAAGAUUUGUUUAAGAUAAUAACAUCGGGAUACUUAAUUAAAGAAACUUUCAAUAUACACUAAUAUACAUUUCGCCAAAAAAGCAUCGCAUCGGCAUAUUUAGAAGGUUUAGAAAAUUAGAAUAUUUAGUUUAGAACAUUUUAAUUACUUGUUCUUGAGAAAUUAUUCUGUAUGUUGCUAUGAACGUUCAUUUCAAAAGAAUAAGUAUCGUAACGUAAACUGAUAAUAAUCUGGGGCCUGCAGUUAAAAGAACAGACGGAUAACACGCAGAAUGUCAUUUUUUUGCCAAAUUUUUUCGCGGUCUGAAAGGAGCGAUAAAACAUUGUUUUUUCUUUUCUCUCUCUGGUACUGAUAACCACAUAAUUUACUGCAAAUAUUAUGAAAGUUUGUAAAUGAAAUACAAUGAUAUAGCGCAUAUGAUGAAUGGAUACUUUUUUUGGCGAAAUGAUAUAAAAUGCUGGAUAUAUUUUGUAUUAUUGUAAUAAUAAAUUCUUUCAGAUAUUAAA